Molecule: long non-coding RNA, 1756 nt
Organism: Raphanus sativus (radish)
Lineage: Eukaryota; Viridiplantae; Streptophyta; Magnoliopsida; Brassicales; Brassicaceae
Exons: 4
Source: RefSeq, a predicted model, not a curated record
ACAACAUAUACUAAUCUCGGCCCAAAUAGCCCAAAGUAAAAACAUCUGAACCGACAAAAUUGUGUGGUCGAUGACCAUUCAGUUUAAAAAAAGAAAAAAAAGGAAAGAACAGAAUUUUCUGUCUCGAUGGUGGAACUCAUGAUAUGAACGGCCGCGGCGUACUUCCGGUGGUAAAGAUGGAAGCGUCUGCUUGAAGAGGUUAAGAUCGACGGUAGAAAAUCAAAGAACUAUCGAAUUUUUCAGAUUUUCUAGAAAACUUCAUGACGAUCCAAACUCGAUAGAUCCACAGAGGACUUCUCUGUUUCUGAUCUAUUUAGGCAUCCGUGAAAGACACGAUGAGUUUGAGAUGGUUGACGAACUUCACAGUUUCAGCUCUGUUUGACAUAGUCCAAAGAAGAUUUGAAAGACCACAAAUGGAAUAAUAAACUUUCAGAGAAGAUAUUCAUAUUCCAAAUACGAAGAUUCAUGAUUUUAAAAUAAAAGAUAAGUUUUUUCCAGAUUAUUUGUCUUCUUUUACAUUAAUAUAAAUCAUACUUCAUAGAGAAAUAGCAUUAUUAGUUUAUUAAUAUAUGUUUGAAUUUUACAUUUGACAGCAGGGAUAAAUUUGGAUCCGGAUAAAUACGUUGGAAGUAAACAUUUACCAUCACGAAAAGGGAGAUCAUGGUGAUACCAAAAGUUAGGGGUGGGCGUUCGGGUACCCGUUCGGGUUCGGAUCGGGUAUUUCGGAUUUUCGGGUAUUUCGGUAUAGGAGUAUAAUAUCCGUUCGGGUAUUUCUGAACUUCGGAUCGGGUUCGGGUAUUUUUAGUUCGGGUUCGGUUAUUUCGGAUCGGGUUCGGAUAUUUAGAUUUUAAAAGAAAUAAAAAUAAAAUUUUCUUUUUUAAAGUUUUUUAUAUUUAAAAAUAUAGAUUUUACUUAACUGAUUUUUUUUUUCUUUUUAUAGAUUGAAUGAUUAAUAGAUUUGGAGAUAACAUUUCCAAAAUAAAAAUAUUAAUUUGGCUAUUGUUUUUAAACUUUGGAUGUAACUUUGGUUAAUAUAUGAAAUAAAAAGUUUAACAUGCAUUUCAAAUGAAUAUCAAAUUAUUUUCUCCAUAAUUAUAUAUAUACUAUAUGAUUUUAAAGUAUGUCUAACAUCAAUAUAAAUAUUUUAAAUAAAAUGAGAGAUGUAAACUAGAAAUAUAAGGGUAAGUAUACACAUGUUCGGUUAUUUUCGGAUAUCCAUUCGGAUUCGGGUAUUACCCGUUCGGGUUCGGAUAUCCAAUCUCUCCUAACUUAAUACCCGUUCGGGUAUUUUACUACUUCGGUUCGGAUUUCGGUUCGGGUUUUUCGGGUCGGGUUCGGGUGCCACUUCGGAUAUCGGUUAAAGUGCCCACCCCUACCAAAAGUAGUACAGGUCGAGCAAUUAAAAGUUUAGAGACAGAAGCUUUAUACAUUUGAAGGACAUGGGACAAAGACAUGGCUGCAAAGAAAUACAAACCUAAAACCUUGACAUGAACAAUCUUAUUGGUGUUCCUUGGCUUCAAGGCGCUGAUGGCGGUGAUUUCUUCAGUAGCAGCAUUCGAUAUGUUGAUUUUCGAUUUAGAAGCCAUAUUUUUGGUUUGACGGAAUGAGUUUGAGUAGGAAGAGUCGUCAGUAUUUAUAAUAGGAAGAAGUAGUAGGAAGAUUAGAUUAGGUAUUUCGAAAACUGGUUGGGUACUCAAAAUAUUUUGCGAGAUUUUUAUAGUUAAUAGUAUUAAAUGCAGUUACCAAUUUGUCACCA